GACAGAGGUGCCAAGCGUUAGGCGGAAUCACUGGGCUUAAAGCGUGUGUAGGCGGAUGUCUAAGUACCUUGUGAAAUCCCACGGCUCAACCGUGGAACUGCUUGGUAUACUGGAUGUCUUGAGCAGUUCAGGGGCAGAUGGAACAGACGGUGGAGCGGUGAAAUGCGUAGAUAUCGUCUGGAACGCCAAAGGUGAAGACAGUCUGCUGGGAACUUGCUGACGCUGAGACACGAAAGCCAGGGGAGCGAACGGG
Molecule: ribosomal RNA, 253 nt
Filed under: uncultured bacterium
Lineage: Bacteria
Description: partial 16S ribosomal RNA
Rfam family: Bacterial small subunit ribosomal RNA
Source: RNAcentral